UAGGGGAAUCUUCCACAAUGGGCGAAAGCCUGAUGGAGCAACGCCGCGUGUGUGAUGAAGGGUUUCGGCUCGUAAAACACUGUUGUAAGAGAAGAAUGACAUUGAGAGUAACUGUUCAAUGUGUGACGGUAUCUUACCAGAAAGGAACGGCUAAAUACGNGCCAG
This 165-nucleotide ribosomal RNA is filed under the name uncultured bacterium. RNAcentral describes it as "partial 16S rRNA". It matches the Rfam family "Bacterial small subunit ribosomal RNA", at positions 354 to 511 of the family's 1533-position model. The record is from RNAcentral.